RNAcentral lists this transfer RNA (58 nucleotides) under Dipodomys ordii (Ord's kangaroo rat). It matches the Rfam family "tRNA", at positions 8 to 63 of the family's 71-position model. From Rfam's summary of the family: Transfer RNA (tRNA) molecules are approximately 80 nucleotides in length. Their secondary structure includes four short double-helical elements and three loops (D, anti-codon, and T loops). Lineage: Eukaryota; Metazoa; Chordata; Mammalia; Rodentia; Heteromyidae. The record is from Rfam by way of RNAcentral.
UGGCUUAGUGGUAGAGUGCUUGCCUAGCAAGCAUGAAGCCCUGGGUUCGAUUCCUCAG